CCAAUAGCGUAUAUUAAAGUUGUUGCAGUUAAAAAGCUCGUAGUAGUUGAAUUUCGGGGUCAGUAGGUUGGUCGUGCCACUGGUAUGCACUGGUCUCACUGAUUCCUCCUUCCUGAUGAACCGUAAUGCCAUUAAUUUGGUGUUGCGGGGAAUCUGGACUGUUACUUUGAAAAAAUUAGAGUGUUUAAAGCAGGCUAACGCUUGAAUACAUUAGCAUGGAAUAAUGAAAUAGGACGAUCGAUCCUAUUUUGUUGGUUUCUAGGAUUGACGUAAUGAUUAAUAGUGAUAGUUGGGGGCAUUAGUAUUCAAUUGUCAGAGGUGAAAUUCUUGGAUUUAUUGAAGACUAACUACUGCGAAAGCAUUUGCCAAGGAUGUUUUCAUUAAUCAAGAACGAAAGUUAGGGGAUCGAAGACGAUCAGAUACCGUCGUAGUCUUAACCAUAAACUAUGCCGACUAGGGAUCGGAUGAUGUUAAUUUUUUAAUGACUCAUUCGGCGCCUUACG
Molecule: ribosomal RNA, 503 nt
Filed under: uncultured Glomeromycotina
Lineage: Eukaryota; Fungi; Glomeromycota
Description: partial small subunit ribosomal RNA
Rfam family: Eukaryotic small subunit ribosomal RNA
Source: RNAcentral